This 113-nucleotide non-coding RNA is filed under the name Knoellia sp. RNAcentral's name for it is "SAM-IV sequence". It matches the Rfam family "SAM (S-adenosyl methionine) riboswitch aptamer". From Rfam's summary of the family: SAM-IV is a mRNA element that regulates gene expression via direct sensing of S-adenosylmethionine (SAM or AdoMet). Lineage: Bacteria; Bacillati; Actinomycetota; Actinomycetes; Micrococcales; Intrasporangiaceae. The record is from RNAcentral.
GGUCAUGAGUGUCAGCGACAGGCCCCGGCUCGCUGGCCGGCAACCCUCCACCGCGGUGGGGUGCCCCGGGUGAAGACCUGGCGUACGUCGACCGGCGUCCGCAAGCACGGCAC